This 85-nucleotide unclassified non-coding RNA is filed under the name Pseudomonas gessardii. The record is from RNAcentral. Lineage: Bacteria; Pseudomonadati; Pseudomonadota; Gammaproteobacteria; Pseudomonadales; Pseudomonadaceae.
UGUGGGAGCUGGCUUGCCUGCGAUGCAGGCGCCUCGGUCUAUCAGUGACCGCGGUGAUGCCAUCGCAGGCAAGCCAGCUCCCACA